CAUGGGGUCACAAAGAGUCAGACACGACUGAGCGACUGAACAGCAACAAUCCAAUAAAAUUACUGGAGCACAGGAAGGUUUUGGAUGAGAGAGAGAGGCAAGCACCAUGAGGAAUUCCUUGGUUAACUGCUGUUAUCUGCUGCUUGGACUUCUAGGCUUUGGAAUGGGGUGGACACCAUUGACCAAACAGUUGACACAGGUGCAGGUAGGGAGUUUCUGUUUCGUCCUUGAGAAGGAAGCUGUGUUGGAAGACACCUCUAAGUCUCUCUACCCUCAUUGACUUCCUCCUCUCUACCAAGGAAGAAUAUUUUCUGGUUAAUGAAAUUGGAUCAGAGUUACGACAAAGAAGACAAGUCACAAAGCCUGGGCCACCGCCCUUGCCUGCUCACGGCAAAGUGAUUACACCCCUUCUGUGAACUGCAGAUUCUUCCCCAGUACAGAGAUGGCAGCAGCUUUGACCAACCUCCUGGACCUGGCUUGGAUGAGGAAAUAUGCUUUUAGGAUAUUUCUUUACAGGGCUUUCCCAAUAGCUCAGUUGGUAAAGAAU
Molecule: non-coding RNA, 547 nt
Organism: Odocoileus virginianus texanus
Lineage: Eukaryota; Metazoa; Chordata; Mammalia; Artiodactyla; Cervidae
Source: RefSeq, a predicted model, not a curated record